RNAcentral lists this transfer RNA (831 nucleotides) under uncultured Synechococcus sp. RNAcentral describes it as "partial contains 16S ribosomal RNA, 16S-23S ribosomal RNA intergenic spacer, and 23S ribosomal RNA". The stretch from base 285 to 357 matches the Rfam family "tRNA". Lineage: Bacteria; Bacillati; Cyanobacteriota; Cyanophyceae; Synechococcales; Synechococcaceae. The record is from RNAcentral.
UGGAUCACCUCCUAACAGGGAGAACAAACAAACGAUUUGAUGUCUGAGUUUUUUUUAUUCUUAGGCCAAAAUCCUGUCACCUUAGGUCGAUCGGUACCUCAACUUUGAAGCUAAGAGUAUUCAGCAAUGGAUAUCUGCUUAGUGGAAAUUUUUAGUUCCUAAACUUUGUCUAGUUCACAACCCAUUAGGGAUGAGACUCCUGGGCCAUUAGCUCAGGUGGUUAGAGCGCACCCCUGAUAAGGGUGAGGUCCCUGGUUCAAGUCCAGGAUGGCCCAUUCGGUGUAGGGGGUUUAGCUCAGUUGGUAGAGCGCCUGCUUUGCAAGCAGGAUGUCAGGAGUUCGAGUCUCCUAACCUCCACUGACUACCAAAAUCCCCAUCUCCAAAACCUGGAGUAUGAACUCGUAUGGAUUGUGAUUUAGAUAUGUCCGCUAGAUGACCCUAGCUUCUUGUCAUUUUAAGGCAUGGAAAUAGUUCCAUGAUAUUUAAUUGAUAGGAUGCUGGGCUCGAUUCAAUGUAUUGAGAGAUCAAUGCAUUGUUUUGAUGUCUGGUCGAACCUUGACAACUGCAUAGUAAGUCUGGAAAGAAUAAAGCAUCUUUAUGGAUGCAUCAUUCUUGAAUGUUAAUUCACGAAGGGAUGGUGUUAAUUCUAAAGCAAGAGCCGAGACUCCAGCAUGUUCUUUCAAAUGUGUCGAGCAUUUGAGAGUUUGAUUUUAAUUUCUAUUUUUAGAAGUUAGAAGAAUCUGUUUCAACGACAGCAAGCGUGUUGGAGAUACAUUGGUCAAGCUACAAAGGGCUCACGGCGGAUACCUUGGCACACAGAGGCGAUGAAGG